GACGAACGCUGGCGGUGUGCUUAACACAUGCAAGUCGAACGGAAAGGCCUCUUUCGGGGGGUACUCGAGUGGCGAACGGGUGAGUAACACGUGAGUAACCUGCCCUUGACUUUGGGAUAACUUCAGGAAACUGGGGCUAAUACCGGAUAGGAGCUCCUGCUGCAUGGUGGGGGUUGGAAAGUUUCGGCGGUUGGGGAUGGACUCGCGGCUUAUCAGCUUGUUGGUGGGGUAGUGGCUUACCAAGGCUUUGACGGGUAGCCGGCCUGGGAGGGUGACCGGCCACAUUGGGACUGAGAUACGGCCCAGACUCCUACGGGAGGCAGCAGUGGGGAAUAUUGCACAAUGGGUGGAAGCCUGAUGCAGCAACGCCGUGUGCGGGAUGACGGCCUUCGGGUUGUAAACCGCUUUCGCUCAUGACGAAGCUUUGUGUGACGGUAGUGGGUAAAGAAGCACCGGCUAACUACGUG
Molecule: ribosomal RNA, 467 nt
Filed under: uncultured bacterium
Lineage: Bacteria
Description: partial 16S ribosomal RNA
Rfam family: Bacterial small subunit ribosomal RNA
Source: RNAcentral